CAUUUAAAGAAAGCGUAAUAGCUCACUGGUCGAGUCGGCCUGCGCGGAAGAUGUAACGGGGCUAAACCAUGCACCGAAGCUGCGGCAGCGAACGUAUCACUUAAAGCGAUUCAGCGGGUUACGAUUGACGGAGCGAAGCGACGUCAAAGCGUAUACAAAGUCGAGUCGGUUUAAGGAUACGUUCGUUGGGUAGGGGAGCGUUCUGUAAGCCUGCGAAGGUGGCCUGUGAGGGUUGCUGGAGGUAUCAGAAGUGCGAAUGCUGACAUAAGUAACGAUAAAGCGGGUGAAAAGCCCGCUCGCCGGAA
This 305-nucleotide ribosomal RNA is filed under the name Salmonella enterica. Its description in RNAcentral is "partial 23S ribosomal RNA". It matches the Rfam family "Bacterial large subunit ribosomal RNA", at positions 1120 to 1342 of the family's 2925-position model. Lineage: Bacteria; Pseudomonadati; Pseudomonadota; Gammaproteobacteria; Enterobacterales; Enterobacteriaceae. RNAcentral also lists the same sequence under 1 other name. The record is from RNAcentral.